GCCCGAGCUGUUUCUUCGGCCGCUCCCGUCACAAAAAAAGCGGCAAAAAAUAAAAAACCAAAACUUCGUCGUCCCGGCCGCGACUCCGGUCGCCACGGAAACCUCUCAUCCUCCGGCGGUUGGCGGCGCGGGAGCGUGCGGAUGCGCGUGCGCGCCCUCCGCUGUUUUGCCGUGGAGAUGCGACGAGCGAGCUGGCGGGUAGAGGUGCUCCGUGAAGGGAAGCGAUGACCCCCCGCUCAACAAACGACCUACCGAACGACCGAUCCGAUGUCUUUGUUGAUGAUGGGUCUUCUGACGGGUGGCGGUGUUUGUCCAACAGUGCCUUGUCUGCGUUCCCGGCCCCUUGGUAUGUGUCUGACCAGCUUAUUGUUGUUGUGACUGUCCUCAGGAGAGAGGUGGGUGCGAGUCCUUUGCUAGCUACGUUGUUGUCAUCGUUGUUGUUGUUGUUGUGAAGGCUUGCAGGUCAGAGGGGUGCACAUUACCUACCGUAAGUGGGCUUCGGUUCAUCGCCUGACAGCUUUGAGAUUUUUGAGCAGUUUUGUUCCAAGCACUGGGGUGUGCGGAUAUAAUGCUGUGAUUACUUCUCUCUCUCGAUGCACACGAUAAGCUGCUGUUUUGCCUCUGGCUUCGUUCAGCUUUGCUUCUGUGAGGUUGAUUCUUGCUCUGAUCUUCUGUCUCCUUCCUGACUCCGAGCCUCUAUCGGACCGCUGGCUUCGCCGUUGUUGUGUGAUAACUUGGGCAGAGUUGUAUGAAUUCGUUUUCCAGAGUCUGCGGGCGUGUAGAGGCAAGUCACCUCCCAGCCCCUAGUUCUUUGUGUCUGGUAAUGUAUCUGCUGCAAAAACAAAUCACACAUAUUUGCAUGAGUAAAUCUUGUCGUUGUUGUUGCUGCCGCUGCGACCGUUUGUGCCGAGUUGUUGAGAAACGAGCAAGCGGAAACGAUCGCUGCAGCCAUUCUCCGAUCGAUCCGCUCUGCCAUAUGUUUGUUUUUGUUGUUAAAGUAAUUUGCCAUUCUAUUUUUUCUCCCGGUUUUGGCGUUGGCUCUUGCACCGUCGCGUGUGCGAGCGAGGGAGGCUUUCGGUUGCCGCUUUGCUGGGGCCGUUGGUUGGUGGCGGCGGCAUCAUCGUGCGCUGCACCGCUGAGUGUUCGGUUGUUCCCUGACGCUGGACUGUGUGCGUGUAGAGUUUUGAGGCCGUGGGACAGAGGGGGGGGGAUUAGGAGCAUUUUUUUGAGGAGUGGUUGCCGCAGGUAAGCCCAGAGACACUGGGUUUUCUCAUUCGUGUCGAGUGUCCGGGUGCGUGUGUGUACCUGCGCGCGCGUUUCAACGUAUACGAUGCGCGAUUGUUCGUGGUGACAGUUUUGUCUGUGCGAGUGCGUGCGUGCCGCUCAUGAUUCAACGUAUACGUUACGUGAUUGUUCAUGGUGACAGUUUUGUCUGUGCGAGUGCGUGUGUUUGUGCGCGCGUGUGUGUACGUGCGCCCGUGUGCGUGUCCCCGUGUGUGUGUGUGUAUGCGUGCCCAGCAGGAGUACUCGGAGAGUGCAAAGCACGUGAAUGCUUGUGCUGUUCUGUAAUGCGGAUGACGGUGCAAUCGAUCGAGGGCAUCCGUGGCAAGGGGCUCCGCCGGACUCCGGCUUCGCGAUCGCACAGAGUCACCGGCGCUGCUCCGCCGCCAAAGACCGCCCGGGAAGCCGACGCUGUUGCCGCUCGUUCGGAAACCCGUCCCAGCGCCAAAAGCCUGAAUUUCACUGCGAGGCUCGGCGCCAGAAAACCUUGACCCCCCUCCUGGGGGUUGGGGGUCGGGGGAGGGGGCUUGCGUGGAGAGAUGCCACCGUUCCCCAGCCCGCCGCUGUCAGGCGAAGGACAACCUAUACUUGCCAACUCCAAAAACUACCCUGCUGUGAAAUGCGAGAUGAACCAAAAACACCCACCGGACAACAGUCUUCCCACUCGCCGCCCUCCUCCCCCUCCUCCCGCUACCUCUCAAGACAAUUACAACGCAAAUCCACGAACCCUCACGAGCAGGCGGUGUCUUCCUUCCACAGCUGUUCAUUCUCAUUGCUCCCUUCCCAAAAACAGUUUGGCAAACGACAAAACAAAAACUGCCGCAGCGAGGAUAUCAAAACGGCCGUGACCUCGGCGGCUGCUGCUCCGAGCGUGACGCCACCGCAGCCCACUCGGGCUCUGCGUCGAUUGCGGCCAGAGAGGUCGCGUAGUGGCGGGCGGGCGGGCGCACGUUUGCCGGCCUGCGGCUUUUGCCGAUGUUUCUCGGCGCACACGAGGUCGGGGCCACUCUGAGGGUGGUUGUCACGGUUGCGUGCGAGGUUAUGAGGGUCCUCUCCUGCCUUUGCGUGGGUCAGGACACUUCAGAGUCGAUUCAAAAGAAGUUGCGUCGGCCGUGCUCCGUGUUUUGUGCAAGGGUUGGUGGGCUUUCUGGAAAAUCUUGAUUCUAGUACAUUGUGACUGGAGCGUCGCUCGAAAAUUAAUCGAGGCCUGCCCGCGGCGUGUUCCUGCGUGCCAACCGCAGCGAUGCAAAUAAGACGGUGUCCCUCUGCAUGGUGGAAGAGAAGUCGGGCGGCCCAACCGUAGCCUCUAAUCCAAGGUUUUGGCUCGCUAGCGUUCGUUGAUAAUUGUUUGCACUGUAGCCUCACUACCAACAGCGUCUUCUAAUGUGCCGCAUUUCGGUCGGUCGUUUGACACGAGCGAUUUUAAGCGACGAAGUUUGUUGAUGGUGGUGGUUUGGAAAGAAGGUCAGCAAUAGCUCUAGGACUCCCAGGGCGUGGCACGGUUUGCAUAACGGGAGAUUAUAUAUUUAGUUGUGAAAACACAUUCGGUUUGAAUUUUUGUGGUAGCGUCAGUUGCAAGUGACGUGGGCAGGAGUUGACGUGGCGUGGCCAGCGGGUGCUUUCCCACGCCAAAGCGGCGCUUGCGUCUUUACAAAGCUGAGAUCUCUUUUUUUGUGUGUCACAUGUGACGCGAGAGCCGUGGAUUAUUUAAUUUCUGCUGCCGGAGCGGAGCGGGUGCUGCACGCAUUGCGUGACGACGGCGUUCCUGUCUGGCGCUCGCUCGUCACGCCGCGUAAACAAGUGGCUCCUUCUCACGCGAGGCUGACCGCUCUUGCCCCCCCCCUCCGACUCCCUCAGCCAUCACCCCCCCCCAUCCCAAACAGAUGUCUUCCCUAGCCCAGUCUUUCUGUGACGAGUGCCACUUCUGUUUUUGUUCGUGUUCUUUUCCCACCCAAGAGGCACAGUGAAUUUCCAUUGGCGUCGCUGCAUGUGGGUGCAGAGGAAGUACCAAGACAGAACGAUGCCAACCCCCCCCCAGCCCCCCCCCCCCAAAUAAUUAACUCGAUGGCUGUGUAAUUGGCACUUUUGGCUUCACUCUCACACUUCCCUGCCAACUCGCUCUUCUCUAGCCGAGUCUGUGCUCGGUCGUGCGUGAGCGGCCAGCUCAAAAAAACUCGUGGCCUCGAGAGUUGGGGCAAAAAUCUUGCCCUGCCGGCCGCCCCCAAAGCUCACAGACUGUCCCGAGCGGUCGCGACGCACGGGGAAGUUUCAGGGCGGUCGCUGCCGGCAAAGUCGUCGCACCGUUUUUCUUUUUUUGUAAAAUAAAAAGAAUCAAUCCAAGUCGACCAAAUGUGCGCAAAUAUGGUCACUUGCUCCCCCUGGCGUAAUUCUAGUGGACAACAGGUCAUGGCAACGUCCAAUCGGAUCGCACGGCGGUCAUGGCUGCCCAAGUCUGUGCGUCCCGUGGACCAAUCGUUGCUCAUCAGACUCGCUUGUUUUUAACCAACUCUCGUUUUCAUUGGCCAGAGAGAACCACGUCACUCCAAGCUGUUACCACGGUGAUGCCCGCCAAUCCGGUUGCCCCUAAAACUGCCCCCCCCCCCCCCGGGUGCAUUGCCGUGUUUUGAACACGGGAAGUGAGGAGAGCCGGUGCAUGCAGCCAGCAGAGAGUUGUCGGGGUGCAUCUCGGAGUCUCUUAGCAGCCGACCUUCACCCCGGGAGUCCAACCUCAACCCAAAGCUCAUUUCUUUUGAACCGCUUUGUAUUUCGUUUGUUGUCCUUAUCCCUCCCCCUCCUCUCCACCGCCCGCACCUCCGAUAGCACGGUUACAUAUGGUGCGAAAGAAGUUCAACAUACAUAUGUACGAAGCAUUGUGGUGGUUGGGGAGGGGGGUGCUAAAAUAGACAUUGUGCGGUUAUUAAGAAUGAUUGGUUGGUAUGGUCUUAGUGAAGUGGUGGCCAGACCCUGGGUUCAAUCAUCGCAAUCGUAGUUUAGCGCCCUGAGAGCUGUUGUUUAAGGGCGCUUUAUACAUUCGUAUUAUUAUUGUUAAUUGCAUGAUAUGUGAUGGUUUGCGAUUAUAAUUUCAGCUGACGGUGCUGCUGCUGCUGUGAUUAUGAUUUUUGUCGAUCACAGCUGCGAGCGUUGGCACUGGUUGGUGUAGAUUUGUAACGAUAGACAGCUCCCCUCAACCCCCCCCCAUCACCACCGUGUGUUGCUUGAUGAGUUGUCACAAUUCGGGGCUCGUGAUUCGAUUCCACGGUUGAGUUUCGUUUCGUUAACGGCGGUCGCGAUGGAUGAAGCGACUCUCUUCAUACCUGCGUCGGCCGCACGGGACGAACCGCAUGCGACGUACGCACGAAUCUGAAGGAAUUGAUUCUCGCACGUACGCGUCGCGAGCAUCAGGAUCUUAUUGUGAUUGCCGAUUCGAUGCCUCCUUGUUCAAUCAGAUGCCAAUUUGACCUGGCACCACGUGAACCCAGCAUAAGCAGCAUUCACCGCUAUUCAUCCCGUCCUCCCCGCCUCUUGAUUCACCGAAUUGCAAAAGAUGCGCGAUGAGAUUACGAUUUUAUCGUAUUGUUUAUAAUUGUUUUGGUUUUUUUACAUUCUCGGUACGGUGUUGGUGCGCUUGAGCGUCAGUGCGUGGCGAUGUCACUCGCUUCAAGUUGUAAAUAAUCGAUGGUCAUUCGCGGGUUUCCGUGCAGGUAUCCUGCGAGCGACAAUCUUUUUUUUUAAUCGGUACAUUGUUACAGAUGUGCUCCUCCAACAAUAUUACAUUUACUGCCCCUGCGAGACCUGCACUUUUUCACGACUUAACACGCAUUAGAACUGCCUGUGUACACGCGCAGCCGUUCUGUCACUCCACUGCUGGAUGAGCGCCUCCCCACGCCGUGCGGGGUCGUGGUGGUAGUUUUACCGUACGUCACCGUGCUGGUCGGUGAAAGCAGGAAGCAUAGCGGUACAGUACAGCAACAGAUUUUGCCGCACCGCCCUUUGCUGCCCGGCACGUUGCGCUAACCGCUACCCGCACAGGUAUCCGGGAUGACGUCGUGUUGCUUUGAUUGGCAUUGGCACUCCCAUCGAUCUCCAACUGCACCGUGACCUUUUGGCCGAGCAGGAGAGUCCGCACUGAACCAGUGCUGCCCCCUAAUGGUAAAGCCCUCCGCGCUCAAAUGAAGACACGAUGAUAAAACGGAGCUCCGCCAUAGAUACGUAGCCAGGCUGUGUGCUUCCCUGGGCUCUCCGACAUGCAUGCACGAAGCUUGCUCGGUGAGCAAAAGGAGGCUUUCGAUUGACGGUUCGGAGUUUUCAAAUGACGUCACAGCCGUGUCGGUCCCGUACUUUGUAACGAAGCGUCGCAGCGGUGAUGUCACAUCGAUGCUCCUGACCGUAGCAGCACGUGUCUGGGUCCGCCCACGAAAUGCACACAGCCUAGGCAUGUAGCUACAAGGUAGGAGCCGCUUGUUUUUCACGGGUUGUGCCGUCCUUUAAGCUCGUACACGGAGAUGGGAUGAAAGCAACUCGUGCGCGGGGGUCCGAGACGACGCAUCGCUGCGUCGCGGGACUGUGAGAUGCCGAUGGCUUGGGGAAGCCUUAAUCCAGCAGUGGGUUGACCCUGGUUGGUGGUGGUGGUAGUGGGGAUGAUGUUUAAGUGCUGCGAUCCCAAAGGGGGAUGGUCAGUGUUUUAAUGACGUUCUUAAAACUUGCACCGACCUCAUUGCUGGUUUGGCUUGAAAGUUGAGUUGGCGAAAUCGAAAAGCUGUGCUAAAAUGCAGUCGUGUGUAUAAUUACGAUUGGGGGACGGUGCAAUUGUUUAAGAGCUAACUGUUAAAACAUUCGACCGCCCCUUCUGUGAUGGUGUUGAAUAGCAAUAAGCGGAAGCGUGUAAAUCGAUGACUCUUUCCGUGCCGUUACUUUUCGUUUUUAUACUUUGAUAACAAAAGCAGUGAGCCGCGGUUCAUAUUUAUUUUGACGCAAGCGUGCAUGUCGGGCGCAGUGCAAUUUUCCAGGCCAUUCCAGACUCUUAAACUACACAAUAAAAACGAGGUUGCCUUGAACAGGG
Long non-coding RNA from Lethenteron reissneri (Far Eastern brook lamprey), 6340 nucleotides. RefSeq lists it as uncharacterized. Lineage: Eukaryota; Metazoa; Chordata; Hyperoartia; Petromyzontiformes; Petromyzontidae. The record is from RefSeq and is a predicted model, not a curated record.